RNAcentral lists this transfer RNA (49 nucleotides) under Gammaproteobacteria bacterium. RNAcentral's name for it is "tRNA-Met". RNAcentral also lists the same sequence under 1 other name. The record is from RNAcentral. Lineage: Bacteria; Pseudomonadati; Pseudomonadota; Gammaproteobacteria.
UGCGGGGUGGAGCAGUCUGGCAGCUCGUCGGGCUCAUAACCCGAAGGUC